Patella vulgata (common limpet) is the source of this 2526-nucleotide long non-coding RNA. RefSeq lists it as uncharacterized. NCBI's taxonomy places the organism in Eukaryota, Metazoa, Mollusca, Gastropoda, Patellidae. The record is from RefSeq and is a predicted model, not a curated record. The transcript has 2 exons.
GCACGAUACUAAAUCUUUCCGAUCUAAGAAAUAUCUUUCCGUGUUUAUACUGAAUUAUAAAUACAAUUAUAAUCAUAACCCUUCAGAGUAUUGUGCAUAGAUCAUGGCGGAUGUCGGAUCAUCAACAUCCCCUAAGACUGACGCAUUGUUUACAGUUAACAAAAACUCCCGUGAUAUACGUCAGGUAGCUGGCAGCCCACUCAAAAUAGUGAUCUAUGGCACCGCUUAUGUUCAGCGUUUAAAUUCCUUUCUAAAUACCCAUGGACAUGCUAAUUUAGAUUUAGAUGAGAAUUUGUGCCAAGUUAAAUGUUGGCAUGGUGGGUUGCGAGAUCCAAGCGAGCAGCAUGGCAGCAUGUUUCGACAGGUUGACAUCAUAUAUUUACAUAUAGGCUCGAAUGAUAUUGCCGAAUCCACCGACACCUUGCCCGAUGAAGUAGCGACCACUGUUAUGAAGUUGGCAUCCUUGCUGAUGACUAGAUAUCGCCCGAAAUGUGUGAUUGUCAGCCAGCUGUUACCCAGAUAUGUUGAACCAUUCGAAGGAUUUAAUGAUAAAAUCUAUUCCACUAAUUCACAUUUAAUGGAACUCUGCAAUACGGCGAAUUUUGAUGUCAGUUUUUGGCGGCAUAGAGCUGGGCUGUGGCAACCAAAUCAACAUAUAUACAGUGACGAUGGCAUUCACUUGUCCGAUACAGUUGGCAAUAAUUUAUUUAUGCGCAGCAUCAGGGAUGCACUAUUACGACAUAUACGUUGGUAUUGCCAGUCUCAAGAUGGCACAAAAAAAAGGGAAACACCCGUUGAGUCUGUUGCUUCUGGCAGUGAUGCGUAGGCAUCAAAUACCACGACCGCAGAAGAACUGAUUACAGAUAUAUUGAUUAGGAAAUUAUUAAAAAGGGGUUUGGCCAGGAGACACAGUGGCUUAGUGAGAAGGAUGUUGACUGGAGGUCUAAUGUUCGAUCCUGUGUUGGUAAAGAAUGUUCACCAUGAUUUUCUGACGCAGCUUCCUCUUGUCAGUGGUGCAGGAUGGGAUUCAAAAGCAAUGUCCUGUGUACCGGUACGCAAAUGGCAUGCACGUAAAAGAUCCCUAGACAGUAAUAAAGAGUAGGCAGUAGUGCCGCUAUGUGGACAAAAUUUCCCUCAUAACACAAGGCAUGGCGUAGGCUCAUCUUCAUUUGCCGAGUCGCAGCAGAACUGUGGGACGUUAAACCACACUUCAAUUCUACCUUCAUUCAUGAACCGUCAUCUUCUGUCUCCACAAUGGAAUCAUCAACCAAUCUGAUUAGAAUACAGAUCUAUAUUUCGUUUCGUUUUUUAUACUUUCCAUGGCCUCUACUAAUUGAAGAUUUGACUGGUUGUAGUGGAAGGUCGCAUCAGAAGUCAUACAAGCGGCUUUUGACCCCAUGACAUCGGACAUUUGAGUAACCAACCAACGUUGAUGUUUCUAGUGAGCUAUCCACAUUUCCGUCAACAUCACGCCAAAAAUUCGUUUCAUUGGCUAAUCCCUCACAUCAUCCAGAACGCGGGUUAUAUACAUUGUACAUGUAACAACUCUUUCAGAUCCUAGUGUAGUAAAGACAAGUAAAAAGAAAUUUAGAACUAUUAAAAAACGAAACGAAAUAGGAUGUGUGUUGUAAUCAGAUUGUGUUUCAACAGAUCAGAAUAUAUUUUUGAGUGAACACUGCAGACUUUGUUCAAAUCCCUGUAACGGUACCGGAACCUUUGCCUCAUCAUCAGAAUAUUUCUAUUUCCCGCCAUCUAUCAGAUAAACUACUUCCAGAUUUUUGGGCUGAUAGAUUUGUGGAUUUUUUGUUGCCUCAGCCCGUGCAUCCUCUUAGGGUCAGACGAAGAAGCAGACCUGCAAAUUUCUUUAUCUCCUAAAUCAAAAUUGCAUUCAUUUGAACAAUGGCAGAAAGCCUUUUUUUGUGUUCAUGGUCGUCAUUAUUCUAAAAACUCCGCAAGUGGCACAACAUCACAAAAAGCAUUCUCCAAACAAGUCUCACUAUCCAGCAUUCGAACUUCAAGGGAAGGCAACUCUGUUUGGAAGAAUGCACAAGAAGUGAUAUGUUUGGUCAUUUAUUCACUAUUUUAUUAAGCCCAACCAAAGGUUUAGUUUUUGUUCUUCAAUGUAUAUAUUUAUAUUAUGUUAAAUUACAUAUGGCUCUAUUUUUUCUAUUUUUUUAAAACCAUAAUUGGGUCUAAAAGCACAUCAUCGAUGAAGUGUCUAAGCUGUGUAUCUCAACGCCAAUUAGAGCUGUUCUGGGUAUCAUGUGUCCAAAUGUUGUAUCUUGAUUUGUGGAAAUUUUGAAAUGCAAAAGGUUCUAUUUCUUAAUCUUUAGAAAUUCUUAUAUACACCCUUUUGACACUUCACCGAUGACAUAUAAAUGUAAUAUGAGUGUAUAUAAAGUGAUUUCUGAUCAAUUUAAAAAAAAAAAAUUAUUAUAAUUUCUAAUCAAAUAUUUUCAGUGAAAUAUGUAAACAGUCCAAACUAAACGGCAGUCGUUUUCGCCGGCUUCGUCCAUUUUAAACGUU